RNAcentral lists this long non-coding RNA (354 nucleotides) under Homo sapiens (human). RNAcentral's name for it is "non-protein coding lnc-NREP-7:2". Lineage: Eukaryota; Metazoa; Chordata; Mammalia; Primates; Hominidae. The record is from RNAcentral.
AGCUGAGGCAAUGCUCUAGAGAUGGUCACAGGUAUAAGCUGUUAGCUAGAGCAAUUUCAGCAGCUGGGAGGUGAGCUUAUCUAUCCACAAAGGUUAUCUGAGAGGGGCAACAACUUCUACUGCUGUUAGUUUACCUUUGGGUAUAAACCUCAACUUUGAGGAAAGAGUUAAAUUCAAUGGAAAACAAAUUUGUUGAGUGCCUACUAUGUGCAAAACAGUAUGUUGGGGCAAAAGGGGAACACAAUGUGGAAGAUCUGUUGCCCUCAAGAAGAAAAAACUGUGCAUAUCAGCAAGGUAUCUCUUCCUGAGGCCGGUCUUCGUUAGCGAGCUUGCAAUUAGAAAUGGACGUAAGAG